RNAcentral lists this unclassified non-coding RNA (377 nucleotides) under uncultured Chlamydiales bacterium. RNAcentral's name for it is "contains 16S-23S intergenic spacer region". The record is from RNAcentral. Lineage: Bacteria; Pseudomonadati; Chlamydiota; Chlamydiia; Chlamydiales.
UCCUGGUUAACCCAGGCAGUCUCAUUAGAGUUCCCACCUUAAAUGUUGGCAACUAAUGAUAAGGGUUGCGCUCGUUGCGGGACUUAACCCAACACCUCACGGCACGAGCUGACGACAGCCAUGCAGCACCUGUGUAACGACCCUUUCGGGAGAUGACAUUUCUGCCACUGUCCGUUACAUGUCAAGUCUGGGUAAGGUUCUUCGCGUUGCAUCGAAUUAAACCACAUGCUCCACUGCUUGUGCGGGCCCCCGUCAAUUCUUUUGAGUUUCACCCUUGCGAGCGUACUCCUCAGGCGGUGUACUUAUCGCGUUAGCUUCGACACAGCUGGGGUUGAGACCAGCUACAUCAAGUACACAUAGUUUACAGCUAGGACUAC